RNAcentral lists this long non-coding RNA (2090 nucleotides) under Equus caballus (horse). Its description in RNAcentral is "lncRNA (ENSECAG00000052525.1)". Lineage: Eukaryota; Metazoa; Chordata; Mammalia; Perissodactyla; Equidae. The record is from RNAcentral.
AUUGAAAAGAAAAAUUAGAGGAUUUUGAAUGGAUUUGAAACUCUGGCCUCAGUGGAAGGGCCCCAGGGACACUGGUACUGGUGUCACGGGGUGGCAGGACGAGUCUGCUUCUACCAGUGUGGGGAAAACUCCUAGCUGGAUUCAGCUGCUGCCCCAGGAAGGCACUGCCAGAGGUGAAGAAGCAUUUCUAAGGUGCUGUUCUCCUAGGAACCGGAAACGGACAGGCUGUCAAUGGGAAGCAAACAAGAAUGAGCAAUUGCCAUCUUCCUCCUCCAGCCUCACAUUCACCCUCUACUGCAACCCCAGGGCAGAAAUUUGGUUGCCAUCCCAAUCCCAGUAUCAUGCAGUAAGUCUAGCAGAGGGGGUUUGGAGCGAGAAACAAUGGCUUAAUAACCGGCACACCCAAUUAUGUGCCAAGCAGUGUGCUAAGCUUUACAGGAUGGACAAGGGUGGAGAGGCUAGCAUUUGCCUUCAAGGAGCUUACAGUUUCACGGGGCAGAUAAAGCCUGUGUGUCAAUAGCUGUAACAAGAGUUAAGAUGAGAUACUGCUAUUCCAGGAGUAGGAAAAUGAAAUGCUGUGUGUGGUCAGAAAGAGGAUGAGUCAUUUUCAGAUGGGAUUUGGGAGAAACUUCUUUGGGAGAAGUAUUUUGUUUGGUGACCACUUGUUCUUCUUUCAAGAGUCCUCCAACAGGCCUCCUCAUUUUGAGAAAGCUUCCCUGACCCCAAAGCAAAUGGAUGUUCCUUCCAUUGUGUUUCCAUGAAAGUGGUACCUAACACUUAUCGAACACUUAAUAUGGGCCAGACAGGCAUGAGUCUAAGCUCCAGGUGCCUGGAAACUGCCAGAGUCAGCAUCCAUGUGAUACAGAGCAAAACAGAUUAGCCCUGAGCUAACAUCUGCUGCCAAUCCUCCUCUUUUUGCUGAGGAAGACUGGCCCUCAGCUAACAUCUGUGCCCAUCUUCCUCUACUUUAUACGUGGAACGCUUACCACAGCAUGGUGUGCCAAGCAGUGUCAUGUCUGCACCCAGGAUCCAAACCAGCGUACCCCGGGCAGCUGAAGUGGAAGGAACGUUGGUACCUCUUGGGCUUGCAGAAUGUUCCAGAAAGGAUGGAGAAGGAAAGGAUAAGGGCAGCAGAUACAGAUUUAAGUGGACUAUCAAUUUUACUAACCGCAGACAAGAAAUUACUCCGUUCUGACGGGUGCAGGAAUGAAUGUGGAUGCCUUGGAAAAGAAUGGAUUCCGUGUGAAAUGGGCAAUAAGGUCGGUGGCACUCGAGUUCUGAUUGGAGAAGUCCUCAAACAGCCAAGCCCAGCAGGACUCAGCCAGCCCAGCUGAUGUCACUCAGGAAGGGAGAGCCCUAGGCUCCUGGUGUUCAGCAGAUGGCGGUGACGAUGAGAGGGAGAAACUGACGACUGCAAAGGGCUGUACGACUCAAGGACUGGGAAGCCAAGUGUAAAGGAGAACACGUCGAUUUCUGCUGUGGGUAGGGUCAAUGUGGUCACUCUCCCCAGCGUGCUUGCCUGGUCACUGUCUGAAGAAACCAUACAGUGCUGAUGCAUCACCAAGCCUGAGCCCAGAGGACCCAGCCCCACAGAGCCUCUUCUGUCUUGGCCAGGAGGCAGAUGGCUUAUGGAUAUGGCAAAAAAUUAUGAAGUGAGAAGGUUAUCUACAAGGCUCACACAGCUGGCAAAUGACAUGGCCAUGACAAGAACCAAGACCUUCUGACUUUCUUGGACAUUCUGUUGGCUCUCCAAGAAUAACUGGCUUCCAGAAAAAGAAAGCUGGCUACAGUAUGAGCUGGGCGACAUGCCUUUUAGAGAAACAGGCCCACUGUGGAGUAAUAUUGAAGAUUUAAAGAACGUCCCAACUGCCAGUUCUAUGUGCUUUUUCAGGUAGUGUCCCUUGGGCUCUCCUGACUAAAAAGUGAAAAAUCAAAUGUAAGAUUCGGCGUCCCACAGUGGCUAAGUGCUCUGGGCAGGGAGUUGAGAGUCUCAGGUUCGAAUCCCCACUCGGCCUCUACUUAGGCUCUUCUUAGAGAAGUUUCCUGGUACCAUCGUGUGAACAGUUCAAUAGAUUUUUAUUCUCUCAGAG